UGGGGAAUAUUGCACAAUGGGCGCAAGCCUGAUGCAGCCAUGCCGCGUGUGUGAAGAAGGCCUUCGGGUUGUAAAGCACUUUCAGCGAGGAGGAAGGUGGUGAGCUUAAUACGCUCAUCAAUUGACGUUACUCGCAGAAGAAGCACCGGCUAACUCCGUGCCAGCAGCCGCGGUAAUACGGAGGGUGCAAGCGUUAAUCGGAAUUACUGGGCGUAAAGCGCACGCAGGCGGUUUGUUAAGUCAGAUGUGAAAUCCCCGGGCUCAACCUGGGAACUGCAUUUGAAACUGGCAAGCUAGAGUCUCGUAGAGGGGGGUAGAAUUCCAGGUGUAGCGGUGAAAUGCGUAGAGAUCUGGAGGAAUACCGGUGGCGAAGGCGGCCCCCCUGGACGGAGACUGACGCUCAGGUGCGAAAGCGUGGGGCAGCAAACAGGAUUAGAUACCCUGGUAGUCCACGCUGUAAAACGAUGUCGAUUUGGAGGUUGUGCCCCUUGAGGCGUGGCUUCCGGAGCUAACGCGUUAAAUCGACCGCC
RNAcentral lists this ribosomal RNA (530 nucleotides) under uncultured bacterium. RNAcentral's name for it is "partial 16S ribosomal RNA". It matches the Rfam family "Bacterial small subunit ribosomal RNA", at positions 355 to 873 of the family's 1533-position model. The record is from RNAcentral.